UACGUAGGGGGCAAGCGUUGUCCGGAUUUAUUGGGCGUAAAGAGCGUGUAGGCGGCCAUGUAGGUCCGUUGUGAAAACUCGAGGCUCAACCUCGAGACGCCGAUGGAAACCAUGUGGCUAGAGUCCGGAAGAGGAGAGUGGAAUUCCCGGUGUAGCGGUGAAAUGCGCAGAUAUCAGGAAGAACACCCGUGGCUAAGGCGGUUCUCUGGGACGGUACUGACGCUGAGACGCGAAAGCGUGGGGAGCGAACAGG
RNAcentral lists this ribosomal RNA (253 nucleotides) under uncultured bacterium. RNAcentral describes it as "partial 16S ribosomal RNA". It matches the Rfam family "Bacterial small subunit ribosomal RNA", at positions 524 to 776 of the family's 1533-position model. The record is from RNAcentral.